This 1199-nucleotide long non-coding RNA is filed under the name Equus asinus (donkey). RNAcentral describes it as "lncRNA (ENSEASG00005036544.1)". Lineage: Eukaryota; Metazoa; Chordata; Mammalia; Perissodactyla; Equidae. The record is from RNAcentral.
GUGAGUUCUCCGUGGUCACGUGGCCCAUACGGGGCAGAGGCAGGCUCUUCUGAGGCUUAUUCCAGUCCGAUACUCUUGACCCCUGAGCACAUGGCCUCUUUUGCUGAAAUGUCUCACCAUCUUUGAUUAUCAAGCUAUGCAUUCUAGGCUCACGUCUACAGCUCCUAGAGAGAGUCUUCUCGAGGCACAAUGUCUGACUUCACCAGCUCCCACCACGUCUUUGCCUGCCCUGGACUGAGAAUAUUCGCUCUUCCUCAUGACCUGUGGGUCAUUUGCUGGUCCUCUGGAAGGAAGAAGGCACUCAGUGAGUUGGAUUCUCUCUUCCACACCACAGGAGCCUUGUGGCCUGGAGUUGGCGCGGCCUCCUCUGGAGCUGGUGAUGGGCUUGUAAAAGGGGCUGGACUUGGCCAAGGCAAGUUCAGAGACUCGUUCAGGAAAGACCCUGAGACCCAAGCCAGGUAGAAAGUCAAGCAGAAUUCUUAUCUCCCUCUUCAUUUAGUUAAUUCUUGCUCCCCCUUUAAGUUCGGGCCCCAACUCCCUCUGGAAGACUUCCAAGGGACAAGUUAGAUGCUGAGCCUUGGACUUCUGGAAUAUCCAGUGUGCCUCUCAGAACCUUGGUAAGAGCAGGGAUCGUGCAUCCGGAGUGUUGGGGCUGGAGUCCGCUGCAGAUGCACUGUGCACGUUUAUUGAAUAAAGUUGACAUUCUUCUAACCACCGUCGAGGACCCUGGGCUGUUGGAGGAAGCUUCUCUCUGGCCCGCAGGGUCCCACUGUCUGCAGACGCCACACCAGCGCUCAUUCUCCCCACCCUCUCUGCUCCCACCAGUCAGUGCGUGCUUCCCAGGAGUCACUUGUGUUUGUUCCUGACCCUGUUUAUGGCAGUUUAUGCUUUCCAUUAUAAUACUGUGAUUUCAGGAGUGAGUGCUCAGUAGAUGCAACUCACCAUGACCAUAUUUCCAUCCAGAAAAAAGGCUGGACGCAAACACUGAGGUGGUAUUACAGGCUCCUUUUCUCCCUGAUUUCUCUGAACUCACUUCCUCUGUGCCUCCGGUUGUGAUCGAGGUCUUCACUACGGCUCCCAUCCCUGCUGCUGUUGGGAGUACUGCACAUCUGCCCACUGAGCCCGAAAGGGGCUUCGCCCAGAACGUGAGCUCUUUGAAGGUGUGACGCUGCUCUCCCGUGAGGCAAAGAGAAGCCGAG